This 400-nucleotide unclassified non-coding RNA is filed under the name soil metagenome. RNAcentral's name for it is "partial contains 5.8S ribosomal RNA, internal transcribed spacer 2, and large subunit ribosomal RNA". The stretch from base 1 to 122 matches the Rfam family "5.8S ribosomal RNA", at positions 35 to 154 of the family's 154-position model. The record is from RNAcentral.
GAUGAAGAACGUAGCGAAAUGCGAUACUUGGUGUGAAUUGCAGAAUCCCGUGAACCAUCGAGUCUUUGAACGCAAGUUGCGCCUCAAGCCAUUAGGUUGAGGGCACGUCUGCCUGGGCGUCACAUAUCGUUGCCUGAUGCCCGUUUCCUCGUGAUGGGUGACUGUGCAGGGCGAAUGAUGGCUUCCCGUGAGCAUUGUUGCCUCAUGGUUGGUUGAAAAUUGAGUCCUUGGUAGGGAGCGCCGUGAUAGAUGGUGGUUGAGUGACGAACGAGACCCAAUCAUGUGAGACCCCUACCGAAUUUGGCCUUCAUGACCCACAUGCGUCUUUGGAACGCUCAUGACGAGACCUCAGGUCAGGCGGGGCUACCCGCUGAGUUUAAGCAUAUCAAUAAGCGGAGGA